AGGAACCAGGAGGCCCUUGCUCAUGUCUUAUAAACUAAAACAAAUUCCUGCAGGUUUAUGCAGAGAGGCCACCAGCUAGGUUAACAAAGCACAGCUGCUUCCCUCCCCUGUUCUAAUUCUGGGAUAAUGGCAGUCAGCUGUGCUCUUCCCAGGACCCUAAUCGGGGACAGCAGGGAGGGUUUCCUAUUCUGUUGCAAGUGACCACUUCUGAGGUCGAGAUGGGCGGACAAGUGCUAUGAAAACGUGUUCUGCUAGCUGGAGGGCUGUCUUCUGUUAAUUGGCAAGCAAGAGAUUGUAGCUCUCCUAUGGUAUCUCUCUCGUCUGGAUUAGUCACCCCAGCUGUUGUUAAGAACUGCAUAUGUUCCAGAAUUGACACUGAAUACCAAAUGGAGGAAGGACUUUUCAACUUGGGAUGUUUUUGCUUGAAGGUCAAAAUAUUCCAAGCAACCAUCCUUGAAUUUCAGUAUGCUGACGACUAAGCCAUCCUUGUACACACUGAGGAAAACAUCCAGACUUUGCCAGAUCUCUUGGCAGAACCCGACUGAACUUUGGUAAAGUGGUGAAACUAGGACUGUAGAUUCCUGAUUAAUACGAGAAGUAUGCUUGUUUCCCAAAGAUCACAGCUAUUGUAAGGGCUGUUUUUUCAUCGGGGCCUCACUUAAGGUAGGCUGAAGGAACUUGCACUUAUUUGUUUUCAUUUGGACCCCUGGGUAGUGGAAGCAGCCCUGGGUGGUGGUUGUUCCUUGGGCUAUGUGGAAAGAAGCCAACUUGCAAUUGCAUUAUUUUCCUCUGAUCAGGCCAACAGGAAGGUGAAACUGGAAUAUUUAUCUUUCCUCAUGGGGAACUUGUUUAAGAAGGUGACUGAUCUUAAACUCCUGGGGUUUAUUGUUGCCACAAUAGGCUUCCCUUUUAUUGAAAGAAUUAAAAAAAAAAAAGCUAGGUGCAGUGAGUGAACUGAUUAUACUUGCACGGUACAGUCCACCUGCCAGUAUACCCAUUCUUCCUCCAGAUUUGGUAAAUUGAGGGACCCCAGGUUACCCUUAAUGUAUUAUGGUCACCUGUUUUCAUCUCUGUAACCUCAGAGAACAUUUUUGACUUUAACUGGUUGAAUAACUGGUAGAAUGACCUGGGUGGGGAGGGUGCCUUGCAGCAUCUUGUCCAGAAAAAAAGCAGUAUAGUCGCGAUGUUCAGUUCAUGUACUACGUUAAAACAUAUAGAUGCCCCUUGUUAAAAUUGUUGCACCCACUUAUGUCUCAUUCUUUUGAAUGAGACUGAGAAGGCAUGAAAACACGGAUCAACACUAUAGUUAAUCUGAUACUAGGCUGAAUGGCUAUUUUUUUUUCUUCAUUAUUUAUUCUCUGCUGUGGAAAAAACUGUAUAAUUGAAAAGACCCACCUCUGUUCAAAAUGGUGCAUUUACCAGAUUUAAGAUAAAUAAAAGUCGAUGUGAUU
This is a long non-coding RNA of Alligator mississippiensis (American alligator), 1451 nucleotides long. RefSeq lists it as uncharacterized. The record is from RefSeq and is a predicted model, not a curated record. Lineage: Eukaryota; Metazoa; Chordata; Crocodylia; Alligatoridae. The transcript is spliced from 3 exons.